This 380-nucleotide ribosomal RNA is filed under the name uncultured eukaryote. RNAcentral describes it as "partial 18S ribosomal RNA". It matches the Rfam family "Eukaryotic small subunit ribosomal RNA", at positions 592 to 976 of the family's 1831-position model. The record is from RNAcentral.
CAAUAGCGUAUAUUAAAGUUGUUGCGGUUAAAAAGCUCGUAGUUGGAUUUCUGCUGAGGACGACCGGUCCGCCCUCCGGGUGAGUAUCUGGCUCGGCCCGGGCAUCUUCUUGGAGAACGUUGCUGCACUUGAUUGUGUGGCGCGGAAUUCAAGACUUUUACUUUGAGGAAAUUAGAGUGUUUCAAGCAGGCACACGCCUUGAAUACAUUAGCAUGGAAUAAUAAGAUAGGACCUCGGUUUUAUUUUGUUGGUUUCUAGAGCUGAGGUAAUGAUUAAUAGGGAUAGUUGGGGGCAUUCGUAUUUAACUGUCAGAGGUGAAAUUCUCGGAUUUGUUAAAGACGGACUACUGCGAAAGCAUUUGCCAAGGAUGUUUUCAUUGA